CCUACGGGAGGCUGCAGUGAGGAAUAUUGGUCAAUGGACGAGAGUCUGAACCAGCCAAGUAGCGUGAAGGCUGACUGCCCUAUGGGUUGUAAACUUCUUUUAUAUGGGAAUAAAAUGUUCCACGUGUGGGAUGUUGUAUGUACCAUAGGAAUAAGGAUCGGCUAACUCCGUGCCAGCAGGCGCGGUAAUACGGAGGAUCCGAGCGUUAUCCGGAUUUAUUGGGUUUAAAGGGAGCGUAGGUGGGUUGUUAAGUCAGUUUUUAAAGUUUGCGGCUCAACCGUAAAAUUGCAGUUGAAACUGGCAGUCUUGAGUACAGUAGAGGUGGGCGGAAUGCGUGGUGUAGCGGUGAAAUGCUUAGAUAUCACGAAGAACUCCGAUUGCGAAGGCAGCUCACUGGACUGCAACUGACACUGCGCCUCGAAAGUGUGGGUAUCAAACAGGAUUAGAUACCCCGGUAGUC
RNAcentral lists this ribosomal RNA (460 nucleotides) under uncultured bacterium. RNAcentral describes it as "partial 16S ribosomal RNA". It matches the Rfam family "Bacterial small subunit ribosomal RNA", at positions 338 to 795 of the family's 1533-position model. The record is from RNAcentral.